UGGGGUACAGCUCAGUGGUAGAGCACUUGCCUAGCAUGUUUGAGGCCCUGGGUUUAAUCCCCAGUACCACAA
RNAcentral lists this transfer RNA (72 nucleotides) under Ictidomys tridecemlineatus (thirteen-lined ground squirrel). RNAcentral describes it as "Spermophilus tridecemlineatus (thirteen-lined ground squirrel) tRNA". It matches the Rfam family "tRNA". From Rfam's summary of the family: Transfer RNA (tRNA) molecules are approximately 80 nucleotides in length. Their secondary structure includes four short double-helical elements and three loops (D, anti-codon, and T loops). The record is from Rfam by way of RNAcentral. Lineage: Eukaryota; Metazoa; Chordata; Mammalia; Rodentia; Sciuridae.